UACGGAGGAUGCAAGCGUUAUCCGGAUUUAUUAGGUUUAAAGGGUGUGUAGGCGGAUUGGUAAGUCAGCGGUGAAAUCUCUCAGCUUAACUGAGAAACUGCCAUUGAUACUGUCAGUCUUGAAUGCAGAUGAGGUAGGCGGAAUAUGUAAUGUAGCGGUGAAAUGCUUAGAUAUUACAUAGAACACCAAUUGCGAAGGCAGCUUACUAAAUUGUGAUUGACGCUGAGACACGAAAGCGUGGGGAG
RNAcentral lists this ribosomal RNA (245 nucleotides) under uncultured bacterium. RNAcentral's name for it is "partial 16S ribosomal RNA". It matches the Rfam family "Bacterial small subunit ribosomal RNA", at positions 524 to 768 of the family's 1533-position model. The record is from RNAcentral.